This 254-nucleotide ribosomal RNA is filed under the name uncultured bacterium. RNAcentral describes it as "partial 16S ribosomal RNA". It matches the Rfam family "Bacterial small subunit ribosomal RNA", at positions 355 to 621 of the family's 1533-position model. The record is from RNAcentral.
UGGGGAAUAUUGCACAAUGGGCGAAAGCCUGAUGCAGCGACGCCGCGUGAGGGAUGACUGCCUUCGGGUUGUAAACCUCUUUCAGCAGGGACGAAGCGCAAGUGACGGUACCUGCAGAAGAAGCACCGGCCAACUACGUGCCAGCAGCCGCGGUAAUACGUAGGGUGCAAGCGUUGUCCGGAAUUAUUGGGCGUAAAGAGCUCGUAGGCGGUCUGUCGCGUCGGCUGUGAAAACCUGGGGCUUAACCCCGGGCC